This 41830-nucleotide long non-coding RNA is filed under the name Coffea arabica (coffee). RNAcentral's name for it is "long non-coding RNA (CARA_LNC000047)". Lineage: Eukaryota; Viridiplantae; Streptophyta; Magnoliopsida; Gentianales; Rubiaceae. The record is from RNAcentral.
UCUCAUUCUUAAUCUUUUCUCCAGUUCUCUUUAUUCUUGUUUCAAAUUAAGAAUCCAAAUUCUCAAAGGUAUCGGGCUUCUUAAAUAUGGGGUUUCUUAACUGCAAUUCUCUAUUUUUUCUUGCAAAAGAUUGGAUUAAUCUCACAAAUCUUAACUCUCAAGACAUCGUCCAGGUUAGUUUCAUUUUUUUUUCAUUUAUUUGUUUAUUACUUGGCGUUUGAUAGAUUGUAUGAUUCUUGAGGUCUGCAAUUUUUGGUAGUUUUAUUUUUAUUGUUCGAUUUUUCUUUGAAGAGCAAUUUGUCUAUUUCAGUUUUUUUUUCUUUUUCUUUUGUGGGUAAGAAUUUGAAUGCCAUGAGAGAAAACCAGUGCAGAAAGCUAAUUUACUUGAUCAACUAUUAUGUCACAAAACUCAGGAUUCAAUUCCUAUUUUUGGUAUUGUAUGUGUACUUCACUUUUGUUGAUUAUGUACUGGAAAAUUCUUGAAGUACUUUGCACUAAAAUAUAUAAUUUAUUUUGGCUGCUCUUAUCCAUUAGGAAUACUCAAGAACAUAAUCUUUAUACUAGGCCGACAAACGAUGUUAGGGACACUAUUUAGUGGAUUUUCCAAAAUAUUGCAACAGGCUACACUUGCAAUUUUUGUGCCUAUUCCAGAGCAUGAUGAUCAAAUUGCGUGGCUUGAAAAUUCUUCAGGGAUGUUUACCGUAAAGGAUGCUAUGAAAACAUUCCGGCCCGAGGUACCGCUGUACAUUGAAGUAGUUUAGUAUGGUAUGAAAAUCACAUUCCUAGACAUGUUUUUAUAUUGUGUUUGGUAUGUAACAAAGACUUAGUACGCUGGAUUAGAGGAAAUGCGGUGUUCUCAGUUGGGGAAAAAUUCCUAGAACUCGUGCAAUAUUCAGAUUAAUUGUUCUUAUUCACUGGUUGUAGCAAGAAAAGGGGAGCCUGCAUGUUUGUGAGUUCUCAGAUUGUAAAAAGCCUCCAAAGGAUCCUACAUACAGUUUGCUAUGAUAUUUAUAUUACCUACUACUGUUAGCCUGUUACUUGACAUAGUUGGAUCUUUAAGUGCUUUUAUGUACUCUUUUUCCAGGCAGAAUGUUCUGCGAUACACUUGUUGUAUUCUUCUUCUUCUUCUUCUUUUUUUUUUUUUGUUUUUGUCAAAACAUGUUUAUAGGCUGAGAGGUUAGAUCACUUUCUAUAACACACAAUAAAGAAGUAACUACUAAUUUUGUUGCAAUACAUCGACUACCAAGUUUAUCAAAAAAACAGAAAGUUAUUUGUCAGUGACAAACGGAGAUGAUGCAAACAAAUGUAUGCGUCCGGGAUAUCGUUGUUGCAAAACAGAGGUGCAUGAUAAAAACUACUAAAGAAGCAUGAUAUUAGUCUAAAGAAAAUAAUCGAACUCCUAAACUAGUUAAGAAUUUUGUGACUUCUAUCAUAAUGGAGACACAAAAGUACGUGAAUCUAUUAGAUUUUUCAAUUCCUUUCCGGUUAAAUAGAAAGUUCUGAGUAUUUUGACUUCCGGAAUAAGUUUAUUCUAAUUGUUCUCAUAUUAUAACAUAUUCAUUUGGUAAGCUAGUCUCUAUCUGUUUGUUUCAGAUUUUGACUAUGAAUUAAGGUUGGAUAGGGAGCAAAACCAGUUUGAUUGGUUUUUCUUUUAAAGAGUCUGAUCUCCCUUCCAAGGUAGAUGGAGCAAAGGCAGAGGUCCAAGACCAAGAGAAAGAUGACAAGAGAGAAAAGAUUGAUAGGAACUUAACUCAUCUUCUAUUAAGUGGAUUAAGCUAUUAAUUUUCUAAUAGAUUAGUUGUACUAAUCAAUUACUAUAGCACAUUUGUUGAUUUUUUUGGGCAUACACUAAGAAGCAACACCUUAGUAUUACCAAAAAAAAAAAAGAAGCUUAUAAGAGACUUGUAUUGAAACUGAAAAUGAGCUUAUGCUAUUAAUUCAUCAACUCAUUAUUUAUAGUAAUUACAUGAAAUAAACUAACAAAAUAUCUAACUAACAAUUAUCCUAAAAAAUUUCAACAAAACACUUGAUAACAUAGUCUCCUACUCAACAAAUCUUCUCUAAAAUAUUUGUUAACAAAGCACAUGAUUUUUAGUUAACAAAUAUCCUAACAACAAGAUUUAUUUAACUACUAACUAAAUUAUUCUAAUAUCAAACAUAAUAUAAUAAAAUCUAUAAAAAAAGUUGGCAUAUUUCAACACUUCUUCUUGCCACUUUUGCUGCAGAUUUUGAAUUGCCUUCUCAAAAUUUUGGAUCUUGUCUUGGAGAAAACUUUUAUAAGAAUCUCUGCAACUGAUGAUUAGCCUUGCAAUGAACUUCUUCUUUUGGACUUUCAUACAAGCUAAAGAUUAGUCUUGCAACAAACUCACUUCUUUUGUCUUCUCAUGCCAAAGUCCAAAUAAAAGAUGUUUUUUUAAUUAUUUUUUUAUGUUUCCAAAUAAUCUUCUCAUAGGAUUAAAGUGAAACACCAUUCGACAAUAUUUAAACUUAUAAAAAAAAUAUUAAAUUCUACAUGGUUCUUCAUUUUAUCAUCACCAUCAAAACUUGUAGACUAAAAAACAACAAUAUUAUAAUCAUGAUAAAUAUUAGUAAUCAAUUUGAUACCUCAUAACUUAUCAAUGAUCUCCUGUUGAAUUUUUUCAGGAUCUAAAUUCUUGAUUUCAUCACGUUUUACUUCAAAAUUAUCAAAACCCGACCAAUUCAUAGUGAAACUUUGUCUUUUCAUUUUAAUUGAGAAUAAUUAGUUCUCAAUCAAAUUAUAAGCCAUUAUCCUUGUGAAAACGGCAUCAAAUGAUAUGUGAAUGCUGAUUUUGGAUCUCUAUCUAACUUCAACUCUACGGUCUUUAAUCUGUAUAUCCAUCGGUUUUUCAAAUAUUGACGAUACAAAAUUUGUGUCCACCAUAUCCCAUAGAUUGCUGACUACCAAAUAAGUCCAAAAUUUAAUGGCCUAAAUUUGGUAAGUUUCACCACUAAAAGUUGAAGCAUUUGACAAAAAGUUCUUUCCUAUCAUGGUUUUGAACUUAUAAAGGAUCCUCAUCAAAUGUUCUCACUCUCAAAAAACAACACAGGCAUUAAGACAUAGGCUCUGAUACCACUUUGUUGUUUUUCUUGGGGCAUAAAUUAAGAAAUAACACCUUAGUGUUACAAAAAAAAUUAUAAAAGACUUGUAUUGAAACUGAAAAUAAUCUUAUAUUAUUCAUUUAUCAACUUACUAUUUAUAGUGAUUAUAUGAAACAAGCUGACAAAAUAUCUAACUAACAAUUAUCUUAAAAAAUCUCAACAAAACACUUGAUAACAUAAUCUCCCACUCAACAAAUUUUUGCUAAAAUAUUUGUUAACAAACCAUAUGAUUUUUAGUUAACAAAUAUCCUAACAACAAGAUUUUAUUUAACUACUAACUAAAUUAUUCUAAUAUUAAACAUGGUCUAAUAAAAUCUGUUGAAAAGGUUGGCAUAUGUCAACAACAUUGAUUUGAUUUUGCUUGAGAUUACAGGCAUCAUUAGUUCCAUACUACCAUGUGACACUUGUUUGUACAUUUUUUUUUUUUGUAUCGAAAUGGGACUUCUGCUAACUACUUCUAUUAAAAAGUGAAGCAGGUUUAAAGACCAGAAUUGGUGUGAAAUAAUGUGGGAAUGCAAAUAAAACUAAUUCACGGUUAUGAUAGAGAACAUAAAAGCUAAUAGGCAGUAUAUAUGCUAAACUGAAUUGCAGGAAAGGUAAAAGCGAAUACCAAAGAGUCGAGCGGCCAAAAAAAAAAAAAAAAAAGGACUCCUGCUGCUUUUGGUCAAAAUUUGCUUAACGAUCAAGGAGGUAUGGGACGGUAAAGAAGAAAACAAAAUCAUGUCCUAAUUUAUUAGGACAUGAACUUUCGUCUAUUAUUCUUAACUGCAAGGAGCUGUUGACUACAUUCUAGCCGAAUAUGUUUCUACCAUAACUACAGCGAAGCAAACAAAUGUGCAGACAUCCUAGCAAACUGGGGAAGAAGCAGCACUCAAGACUUCACUUCUUUUGAAUUAUGUCCUAAUUUUGUCCUUCCCUUACUUUUGCAAGACUUAAAGGGUGUUACCACCCCACGGAUGACUGUACUUUAACUUCCACUCUGUAGACUUGGCUUUUACUUUAAUGCAUCUUUAUUUACCAAAAAAAAAAAAUAAAUAAAACAAAAUAGCUUUGGAUUGAAAAUUCUAGCGUUUAAUACUAACAGUGGCACUGGCUUGUAUCUACUUUUAUGCUUACCCAAAAGACUUCUAGUUUCAUGGCCGGAUUUCAUAACUUGUGUCUAGUUACUCCAUAAAUGUACUAUGCAAGUGAUUAAUAUGAUACAACAUAUAUGUAAAAUUUAAAAAUUACAUUACUAACCAUGAAAUUAAAACUAAACUAAGGAAUAUUAUAAGUGGCUUUUAGGAUGGAACAUAUACGCUCAUGAAUUUUAAGUUACUACUCGGACAUACCUGUGGUAUCCUUCAAUAGGAUUUUAUAAUCACUUCAAAAAUUAUAAUUGUCUAACUUAUUUGCUAAGUUUUCCAUAGCUUACAAUUUUUCUUCGUUGUGUUGGAUAUGGUGGGAAUUGAGAGUCCGACAUUGAUUCUGUUGAUGCAGUAUUUUCUUGUUGGUCGACGAAAUCAAAAUCCUUCCUUAUCUCUGACGGAGUUUUUGAGCAUCCACAACUCAUACCAAGGUUAUAAUACCCCGAUGUGUAGUGAUUUCCCAUAUUUGGAUUAAAAUAAGUAGGUGGAGGAUACAUGGGAAUUGGGCAUGAAAAAUUUGGUAGAUUGUGGAAAUUUGAUGGAUAGUUGGAAUUGGAUAAAUUUAGGGGAUAUACAUAAUUUUGCACAUUUGUAGGAAUACCAGAAAAUGGGUAUUUUAGGUAAUUUGAAAAAUUUUGGUGGUUUUGAUUUUGCGAGGAGGAUGAAUUUUCUAUAUUUGGAGCAUUUACAUAUUUGUAAAACUACUAAAAUUCUCAUCCAUAAACAAACUAUUGAAUUUUUGUUAAAAAAUUGUGCAAAGAGGUUGAGGAAAAUGAGUGAGAGAGUAAAAGGAAUAAUAGAGUAGGAUAGUAAGAUAUGAAAGAAAAAGGAAUGUGUUGUGUUUAUAUAGAGAAUUAAAACAUAACCAUUGGAAAAAAAAAAGAACGUUGCUAACUUUUCCUUGCCAAUAUAAAUUUUGUCCGUUGUGACUUCAAAAAAAUUAGAUUUUUAAAAAAAUUGGUCUAAAGGCACUAGUCUACCUGUUACACUAUCAUCAGAAUGAUACGUGUAAUGGAUAUUACACGGGCAUAAUGAAUGACCGUGUAAUGGACCAAUGUCAUGACAGGUAGUACAUGCAUCAUUACACUCCAUUGUGGAUGCCCAUAUACUAACAAAACUGGACCCUCAAAGGCAGCUUUUUGAUGACAAGCACAUGAGAAGUAGAUUUCCUCGAGCAGCCUCUGGAUAGUGCUUGUGGCGGUGCUGGUGCUUUUGACAUUCUGGGCUACAAUGGUGAUGGACUAGGCAAUGUGGAAGAAUAUAUUAUACUGGAAAGAAAUUCACAAAAUAUGGGUGCAGAACUCCUCAAGGGUGUAAAUAUUAUAUUUAUAUCACCCCUGCUUUUACAAUAUAAUUUCUUCUUCCCUAUGCUUUAAUACAUUGACUACUUAACAAAUGUAGAUAUAUUUGCUUAUAAAACUUCUAUCAGUAAGUUUACUUCUUCACGCACAUUCAUCAAUGUCUUAUGAUCACCAGCCUCAAAUGAUUAUAUGGGUUAAACUUUUUAAAAUAUUUAACACCGGCACAACUAUGCAUUGAAAUGAUAAAAUAUUCAAGAGUCUUGGAAGGUGCAACCUAGCCCAAUUAUUACUACUGAUCAGCAAGCUCAACAGUCAAGACUUCUUCCAUUCUUUUGUUCCUAAUUUUUACCUACUUUCCUUCAAUGACCUCUCACACCAAUCAUUCCUCUGUUCAUCAUCUCACCAUUAAUCUCUCAAAUUCCUCCAAUAAAGUUCAGUUUUGUGCCUUAAACCAUAUGCGCAGAGUUUUGUGCCUUAAACCAUAUGUGCAGGUUUGAUUUCUUAAUCUACAAUAGCUUUUGUUUUUAUUAUUUCUACAAUUUACUAAUGUUCUAGUUUGAGAUUUAAAUCUAAUACUGUAUUUGCUUUGAUUUUGCAGUUCUUAUACUUUCAAAGGCAAGUACUUAUCUUUCUUCAUCUUUUUCUUUUGUUUGAUUUUUCUUUUUCUCCAACCUUAUUCUUAGCAUUUUUAGCCGUUGCCUGAGUCUAAGUUUGCCAUCUUUUCUUCAUCUCUCUCUCUCUCUCUCUCUCUCUCUCUCUAUUUUUCCUUUUUCAGUCUUAUCAGCAUUGUUUACAUAGCAUUUGGUUAAACAAUUAGUAGCAAUUUUUUUUCCUUGAAGAAGUUUGUUUUCCAAUUUCGUGGACAAUAUUCAAUGAGAUUGAUACAUAGUGUCAGAACUAUUGUACAAGUUAUCUCUGUACCAAUUUUGGCUUUCUUUCUGCGUUUAUAUCUACUGGUGGAUGCUGCACUUUUUGUUAUCUAGAAGGAUUUUUUCCUUAUAUUUUGUUUUGUGAUUGUAUGUAUUAUAUUUGCAUUAGGGCAGUGGGGAUGUACUCUACUAGAUUUCUAUUUUUUUGCUUUGUAUAUGGAAUAUUAGGGCAAAUUUCACUUUACCCCCUGUGGUUUAGCGUUUUUCACAUAACCCCUAUGGUUUCAAAAGCUAUACAUAACCCCUUAUGCUUUGGAUUAAAGUGUCAAAGUAACGGAAAUAGUCACUCGUAAUGGCGUCACCUAAAAUGUCAAAAAUACCCUUAUGUAAAGUUGAAAUUUAUGUAUUAACCAAGGGGGGUUAUGUGUAUAUUUUGAAAAUCAUAAGGGGGUUAUAUGGUAAAGUAUUAAACCAUAGGGGGGUUAUAUGGUAAAAUAUAAAAAUCAUACGGGGUUGAUGUGUCAUGUAUUUAUAAGGGUAAUUUUGACAUUUUUAGAAGUUCCGUUACGAGUGACUAUUUCCGUUACUUUGACACUUUAAUCCAAACCAUGAGGGGGUUAUGUAUAGCUUUUGAAACCAUAGGAGGGUUAUGUAAAAAAAGGGUAAACCAGGGGGGUAAAAUAUAAUUUACCCGGAAUAUUAUGAUGUUAAAGUUGGAGAUGAAAGCUGUCUUUAGAGUGUUUGACUUCAUGGAGAAAGUUCCGCUGUUCAUACUUUCCAUUUAGCCAGUAAUUCUACUUACUGUUUGGCAACUUUCUCGAUUUCAUAUUACUAGAAAACGAAUUUCUUGUUUCUUGGUCUCAGGCUUGUCACAUUCAUAUACUUUUGUUCAAGAAGUCAAAAUUUGUUAAUUGGCUAAAAGGCUAGAUCACUUCUCUGAACACUGAAUGAAGAAAUAUCUAUUGAAUUUUGUUGCUGAUGCAAACGAUUAAUAUGUACAGUUUUUGUAGAAACACCCAAUCAACAACUAACCAAACAGAGCAUAUAUGUGUGCCUCUUAGGAUGUCAUUGCUGCAAAACAGGGGUAACAUGAACAAAACUAGUAAGGAAUUUUAGAUUAGGCCGAAGGAAAUCAUCGAACUCCUAAGUUGGUCAAGAAUAUGGUGUCUUCUAUCAUAAUAAAGAGACAGAAGUAAGCCAAUCUAGUGGUAUUUUCAAUUUCUUUCCGGUAAAAUAGCGACUGCUGAUUAAUAUGACUUCUGAAUAGGUUUGUUCCAAUUAUUCUCAUCUUACGAGAUUUUCAUUUGGUAAAGUUAUCUUGAUAUAUUAGUUUUUAGAGUUUGCCAUCAAUUAAGGUUGGUAGAAGGAGCAAAACUAGUUAAGUUGGAGCAUCAUGCAUGCUCCCACACAUUUUGAUGGGUUGACGAAACUAGCACGCUUGGGAAGAACAUGAGCAACAUAUAUACCUAAUCAUAUGUUGAAUGAUAAUGAUGCUUGGCAAAUGCUUAUUUCAGAGAGUAAAGCAGGUUAAAACAGAAGAUAUAUGACAUCCCGCAAGUAUUUCUAGUGACUUUCAUAUGUAGUUCAGCCAAAAUCAUUUCAUUGGUCAAGCAUGGUACUAAUGUAGCUUAAUAUCUUAUUUCCACAUUGAGUUUGAUUGUAUUUAAGCCUUUCAAUAUUCCCUUAACUACUGAUGAAUAUUGUUUCUGAUCAAUUCUCAUUUUAUUUCCUGCCAACUGCCAAGUACCCUUGUCCUUGACAUGUAUAGCAAUAGCUAGAUUGUUACUACUGCUACCUUACCUCCUACCUUUAACAUAAUCCAAAUUGCAGAAUAGCAGCAAGGUACUGGAAAUGGAACAAAUUCUUCACACGAAAGGAGGGGAAGAUGAGGAAAGCUAUGCCAAAAAUUCAACAUUUCAAGUAAGUGAUAAAUAUCAGAUAAAGUCUGAAUGAUUCUCUCCGGCCCUCUAUAUAUAAUUGUGUGACUGAUCUCUAAAUCAGUUUCUACCCUUUGGAGAUCAGUGUUUAUGAAUGUCAACCAUGCACUCAAUCGGAGCAUUCAGGGUUUUGUCAAGCCAGCCUAGCAGAGGCAGAGUGCAUAAGAGUAGCAGAUCUGGGAUGUGCAUCGGGACCGAGUAGGGCAAAUUACAUUUUACUCCCCUGUGGUUUAGCAUUUUUUACAUAACCCCAUAUGGUUUCAAAAGUUAUACAUAACUCCCUCAUGGUUUGGAUUAAAGUGUCAAACUCCCUCAUGGUUUGGAUUAAAGAAUCACUGACAGAAAUAGUCACUCGUAACGAAACUUCUAAAAAUGUCGAAAUUACCCUAAUAAAUACAUGACACAUUAACCCCGUAUGAUUUUUAAAUUUUACUAUAUAACCCCCUUAUGGUUUUCAAAAUAUACACAUAACCCCCUUGAUUAAUAAAUAAUUUUUAACUUUAUAUAAGGGUAUUUUUGACAUUUUAGGUGCUCCAUUACGAAUGGUCAUUCCUGUCACUUUGACACUUUAAUCCAAACCAUAUGGGGUUAUGUAUAGCUUUUGAAACAAUGGGAGGGUUAUGUAAAAAACGUUAAACCACAGGGGAGUAAAAUGGAAUUUGCCCGACCGAAUACGUUGUUAACAGUUGAAAGCAUUAUAGAUAGCAUUAAUAGAGAAUGCCAUAACCUGAAUAUUCUUAAGCUACCUAAUAUUCAAGUUUUCUUAAUGAUCUCAUGUCCAAUGAUUUCAACUCCAUUUUCAAAUUAUUGCCUAGUUUUUAUCAAAAACUUGAGGAAUCAUAUGGACGUGGUUCAAGGUCAUGCUUCAUUGCAGCUAUGCCGGCUCUUUUAUGGAAGACUUUUUCCUGACAACUCCAUGCAUUUUAUACACUCUUCUUACAGCCUUCAUUGGCUUUCUCAGGUUCGCCAAUCUCCUGCUUUGUUGUUAUUAACACGCAUUGCUAUGUUGGUAUUUACGGACCCUCACUAUCUUAAUUUUCAUUACUAUCUAUCUAAACCCCUGACUGCCUGAUAUAAUUUUUACAUUAUUACUAUCUGUAAUAGUUUUUGCAAUAGUUUUGCUGUUUUUUUUUCCUGUUCGAUUAAACAUUUGUGUCCUUAUACUUGUCUGUAUCUUACUUUCAGAGUACUUGUGAUGCUACUUGAAUCCUAAUAUGUAACCUUUGUGGUAAAUUAUCUUUGAACUCUUUGAAAAGGUUUGGAUUUAGUUUCCAAACUAGCCAUCACAUAUUUUUUACGUCCUUUAAUGUUGUUCAGCAAAUCAAACUGAUUCCUUGGUGUCAAUUAGAAAAUUAAUAUUCAAGUCUUAGCCUCAAACAUAAUGAAUUCUACAAGUAUACCAAAAGAAUAUGAAAACAAUGCCAAGCCCCAAAACAUGAUACUUAUCAUGUAUUUCUCUACCUCUCUGCUGCAGGUCCCGAGUGGGUUGGUGACUUAGGAAGGGUUGCCACUGAACAAAGGCAAUAUUUACAUAGGUAAAACAAGUCCUAAGAGUGUGCAUGAUGCAUAUUUGGAUCAAUUUGACAGAGAUUUUACAAACUUCUUAAGUGUCCGUGCUGAUGAAUAGGUGUCUGGGGAACACUUAUUUGUGACCUUGGCGACUAAAAUCGAUGGUCCCGUAGCAUAUAACGUUCAGGACUUACUUGGAUGACAAUGAAUGACAUGGUUUCAGAGGUAAUGAUUCAUACACACUCAAUCUCGAUACAAUGUGUGGUGAAAUAUGAUCCCAUCUGGGUAAACUGUACAGGGACUGAUUGAGGAAAAGGCACUCGAUACUUCAACCUUCCACAUUACCGGCCUUCUUUGGAGGAGUAAAACCAUCAUUGAGAAAAAUCGUGCUCUUAAGAUAAGGUAUCUGGACACCAUUCAACUGCGAGUGAUUGGUGCGGAGGCGACAGAUUGCGGGAAGGGCUACGUUUUCAAUACAAACACCAAUGCCAAGUACAGGGCUAGGAUUGAGUGCUAUUUGUGAACCCAUCUUUCAAGCUCACUUUGGAGAUGGUAUAAUGAACGAUUUCUUUAUAAAGUUGGCUGCCAAUAUCUCACAACAUCAGGGAAUGAUGAAGAGCCCUAUCAACAGUCUGGUUCCUUCCCUCUCCAGAACAUGAAAGCGGAAGAUGUAUACUUUGGCUGGAUUAGGUUCAUGAGCAGGCUUAAGUGUGUCGUAUUGGUUUGAAAGGGGUAGAAAUAGUGUCUUAACAUAUAGAUCUAAAUAGUGCAUGAUGCAUAAAUCUGUGGACCUUUUAGAUUAAGAUUGGCUUUGAAUUUAUAUCUGAGCCUCCUUGGUGGGGUUUUUUUCCUUAAUAGUCAGAAAUAAAAUGAUGCGACUUUCCUUGGUGGGGAUUUUUGUGAUUUUAAAUUAAAAAAAUUCAAAUUUUGCCUUUCUUUCCCUUCAUAGCAACAUAGAAUGGAGGAAAAAGAAAGGCAAAUUUUGAAAAUUUUUCUAUUUAAAAUCACAAAAUCAUAGCAAACAUCAUUCUAAAAGAGAUGACUAGUUUGUUUUGUUGAAUCUUGUGAUCAUUAGUAUAAUUUUGUUGCUUAUUUAUAUUGUUAGUUCAUUAAAUGUGAACUUUUGAUUGGUAAAAUAUGUAUUAAUUGUUUCUAAUUUUUAAUUAUUUUUAUUCUUUUACUAUUACAACUUAUUACAUGCAUAAGGAAAUAUUUAUAAAAUCAAAGUUUCAUCUCUCUCCUUAAAGUACUUUUUUAAUGUUACUUUUUCUAAAUUGAUUAAUUUGUUAUUAAACUUUAAUCUCAAGAGAGGUUUGUGUAAUUUUAAAAACUUUAGAGAGGCUAGUAAAAUUGUUAGAAACCUCCGGGAGGUUUAUGAACAUCCCUAAAGAAAACCAAAUGCCUUGGACAGCCGGAAGAGGACCGGUCAGGAUUUGGUUGACGAAAUGAGGAAGGAGAAAUUUUCAGCGAGCUUUUGAAGUCAUUUGAGGCAAGUCUUGUAAAAUUCAAACUUAUUUAGCCCUAUUUUAUGAACUCGGGUUGGUUGAAACCUAAAUCAAACUCCCCAAAGCAUGGUCAAUUAAGUAGUUCAAAAGCUGAAAGCUCUAGAUCACAUUAAAACCUCAAAUCUUAUCUCUCUGCAGGCCAAGCUAGAGUAAUAUAUAUAUGCAUUCUAGCCAGCUAUCUGGGUGACAAUUUAGUAUAGUAAAGACUUUUUACAUGCCUACAAUCCAACAGCUAGCUACCGGUAUUCUUGCCGUCUCAUCUUCAUACUUUCAAUGCUUCCAUUGAUAUGAGAUCCAUAUUCAUGAGAUUGACAAAGAGCAAUCCAGACAGCUUAAACUGGAACCAAGAUCAACCAAAUUGGCUACAGGUCUCAGCCAUGCCAGCUAAAUGGUUCCUUCAUAUGUAUUCCCUGUCUCAAGCAAAUCAGAUCAGAAGAAACCUGCAAAAUACAUGAAAGGUCGAGCACUUCCAUAUGUCUGUGAAAGACAUCCAACAAAGCCUAUUAACUCGAAAGCUGCUGCUUCCUACAUGUUCCAACAAAGCCUAUUAGACACUGACUGUCUUCAAUAUUGAUACAGAUAUUGGAUAAAGAGUUGACAAUGAACAAAGAACACUGUUAACAAUUGGUAAUGGAAAGAUGAUCAUUCCAAAUAAUUACAUAGAUGAACCAAAAAUGGAAUUCAAAAAUUAGCGAGGGCAAUAAAAUUUGCAUAUUGUCAAUGUUAAUAGAAGCAUGAGAAUGAAAGCUAUAUGUCUAUGUAAAACUCGGAAGAAUAGUGAGAUGAUAAUCCUUCCUAUGCUUACAAAGUGAGGUUCUAAUCUUAGCUAGUUUGGCAUAAUAACCCAAGAAAAAGUCAUGAUUGAUAUUCAUGUAUUAAUUCAAAACAAAAAUCAACGGAUUUAGCCUCUAAGUGCUUUCUUUUGAGCAAACGAUUUCUCCUAGUACACUAAAUAUUUAGGACAAAAAUGGACUAGUAAAAGAUAACCUUUUUCAGAAAGAAGCAGCAAAAGAAUGCCGCAAUUCUAUAAAUGUCGGCAAGUAGUUUCCUUCUUCCUUGAAUUUGUUAAGAGUUAAUUGCCAACUUCAUUUCAAUGGCUACGCUGAAAAAAUGCUCAUCUAACCUAGCAGAAUAGACUUGUGGCACAAUAUCUCUAUCAAGUGGAAUGAAGGACCUUGAAAAACUUCCUUGAGUAACAUUUACUAUUGUCUUCACAGAUGUCAAUAUUUUAAAGAGUUCUUGGUAAAAUUCUUAGGUCUACUUAUCUUUCUUAGCUAAAGCACAAAAAAAAAGCUACUUGAAAGCACCUAUUUAUUGCUUAUUUAAGUUAAAAUUUCUAAUUUUCUACUAUUCAAAUAAAAAAAAAAGUUAAAACCCAACAAGGUAUUAUGGUAAUAUAUGUUAGUUUACCUUGACAAAUUCAACACCUAGCUAGGUGGACACGCCGGAAUAAUCAACUGUUAGCACAAGUGCAUCAUGAAUCUCUCUUAUUUUUGGGUGAAAGUAUAGUCCUUGUCCAAUCAGAAAGGCAUUGCAUGAUCUAGCGGCAGUGCUUCAUUGAACCUUUGAACGAGGACUUAGAACCUUGCAUGUGAAUACAUAUUCUUGCAGCACAUAAUCUUUGAAUUUUCUUCCAUCCACUACAUGCUUUGCUUUUGCUUUUGCUUUCCAGAUGAUGUUACUGCUAUCUUCAACAUCUAGCUUCCAUCACCCAAAUCUUCUCUUCUUCUAAACCAAAUUACAUUUCCAGUAGAUAGAUAAAGAAAAAAAAUCGAACCAGGCUAACAAAAAGUUUAGUCAAAUAUUACCUUCAUUUCUGCAUUCCGAGCACUACAGAACAUAAACACUUUCAGUUUUUCUACGUGGUGUUGAGAAGCCUCCAUCAAUGCUAGUGCAAAUUAAUGAGCAAAAUAACUAUAAUUGAUGACCAUCUUCAUCUGCGAAACUGCCUGCCGAGUGACAGUAAUUUCUUCCUUUUGACAUUCUCACAAAAACGACAGGGAACCAUGUUGCUUCUUUUCCAACAAGAUGAUGUCUGCUUCCUAAAUAGAUUCAGGAAAAAAAACAUCACCAUGUUACAUUACAGUAAUAUUAAGUGCAAAAUUGCCGUUGAACCAUCAAAACUUAUGAAAAUGUAUUACAAAAAUUUCUAAGAGCAAAAAUUAAGUAGAAUUACAUCGAUUAAGCAUCAAAAACGCACAUUACAUUCAGAGCAUAGCUAUUGUAUGUGAUUGAUUUGAAGUAUGGCAACAGCAACAGAAACAAGUAGGCCGUUAAAUUUAAUCCACUGAGACUACAUACCUCUUCAUUUACUCUGUCACAUAUUGCUUUCUAGAAGACUGAUCUUCACUCCUUAAGAGAACAAUUGUCUACCACAUCAACAUCCAUACAUUUUUGCUUGAAACCACUGCUUUGUACAUGUUCCAACAUUGCCCAUGAACAUUGUCUAAAAUGCUAAAUAGAUAUUUCUAUAAAUAUUUUAUCAUGAGCAAGUAAGUCCUUAUGCAAGUGGAUGGAAAAAAUCACCAAUCUCACUAGAUACCACAAAAUGAAAGGCUAAAAAACAGAGCAUUAACAAACAAAGGAAGUAAUGGAGCAAAAGUCAAUUGAAUUUGCAUAAAUUGUCUUGUGAUUCUUUCUGAAAAGAAGUGAUGAUCAAGAGCUAAAUUGUUUAACUAAAUGUUAAAGAAGAGUAAGAUAAUCUUUCCUCUCUUUCUAAACGACGUCUUAACUAGAGUUUGCAAACUAAUCUGAAGAAAAAUGAAAAUUUAUAUUCGUGUACUAGCAUUCAUAAAUUCUCUUAUUAACUUCUUUUAGCCGACUGAUUUCUCCUGACAACUAAAAUCUUUGGGCCAAACAAAAUCAGAAAAGAAUAACCGUUUUCAAAAAAGAAAUAGGUAAUGGAUGUCAAUAUCUUUUCAGUGUUGGCAAGUUGUUUCCUUCUCCUUCAGUUCUUAAGAGUAAUCAACUUCCAUUGAAUGAGCAUGCUGAAACAUGCUCAUUUAACCUAACAAGCAGAUACUUGUGAUAGAGUACCUGUAAUUAGGUGAAACCAUGUUGGAGAACUUCAUGUGAACAUUUACAUUGAUUUCCCACUUCAGUUAGCCUUCUGAAUGUUACAUAUUCCAAGUGGCUCUUAAUAAUUUUAAAUUAUUUUUAGAUUUGCUAGUCUUUCUUAGCUAAAACAUAACAAAUAGAAUGCUACAAUAACAAAACCUGUUUAUUGAUCAUUCAAACUGCAAUUUUUUUGAUUGUGACUAUAUCUUGAAGUAGACAUGUCAAAAUAAUUUAGUUAAGAACCAAGAAGGUACUUAGGGUACGUUAUUUUACUAAAACAAUUCAACACUGAGCCUGUACCUGAAUGACUAACUGUUAGCACAGUUGUAUAAUGAGUCUCUCUUGUUCUUGAGCAAAGGUAUAACCUAUUGUCCAAUUUACAAAGGCCUUGCAAGAUCUGGCGGAACCUUUGAACGAGAAUGUAGAAAUUUUUGCCGCUGCAAUUGCAGCACCAAAAACUUUGAACUGAUUCCAUCCAAAUGAACGACUGACACUUGCAAUGCAUGCUUCGUUUAUGUCAUCCAAACGAUCACCAAUGCUGUCUACAUGUCUAACUUCUUUCCAUCAAAUCUUGUCACCUAUGGAACUAAAGUAUUUAACACGUCCAGUUUUCUUCAAGCAAGUCUUGUACCUUGAUAGCUCUCCAGUACCAACUACCAUGCUCUUCUCUAAUUCUUCUCAAUCCAUACUACUUUCUACAAGCCUGGCACAGCCACUCUGUUUUCAGCAUGCUACAAGGAGAAAAGGUUCAAUAUUGAUUUAUUUUGUUAAUACUUCCAGAAAAAGAUAAAAAAACAAAAAAGAAAACCAUUGAAACAGGCCAAUAGACAUGCAGUCAACAUUUUUACCUUCAUUCACAUUCUGAGCAAUAUAUGGCAUUCUGGUGGGAAAAAUCACAGAUAACUACCUUCCAUCUUCAAAAACUGACUGAUAAGUGAAAAUAACUCCUCCCUCUUGACAUCUCAUAAAACAACACAGAACCUUGGUGUUCUUGUCAAAAAGCAUGAUCUCUACUUCCUAAACAAAUUCUGGAAAAAAAUCAUAAUAUUAUGUCACAAUGCUGCUUCAAUUAUGACAUUAAUAGAAACAUGAGCCACGGAAAGGUUUGGUCUGGUAACAAUUUAUCACUCAAAAUCCUAAACAGUCAACAAAUUAAGCUAAAUUCCAUUGAUUAACCCAUAAAGAAAAUACACUAGUGCAGAUACCACCCGACAUUUAGGCACAAUUACAUGACUCAAACAUACUUGCAAACUUGGACAAUUCCCUUGUACUUCUAGUAAGUUGGGUGGAGAAAUUUCCAAACCACAUACCUCCUCAUCUUUCUUCAAAAAUGAUUGGAAACCACAGCCUAAUGUUGCAGUUGGAGAAUGUGAAAAGUGCAAUAAGAUGCUUUAGAGGUUCCAGGCUGACUUUGCCUCGAGCACACUUUUGAGCCUUUCGCAAUGUUUUCGGCACUAUCACUGCUUCUGCUUCACUGACACUUGUGGCCUACAAUGCCAUAAUGUUAUGGAUCUGAAUUUUAAAAAUUUUAAAAGAUGAUAAGAAUUUAUAGUUUUAGCAGCAGCCUAGUUCCUCUGCAAACAAUUUCAACUUGAUCGACAUUGAGCUAAUUUUAUGGCAAACAUAAUGCAGAGUCUUACAGAGAGAAACAGUGAAUAUUAAGAACAUAUCCAUCUAUUAAAUGCCAGCGGUAAAAAAAAAUUUAACGUUCUCCCCAAAUUGCUGUUUCAUUGGUUUUAAUGUUGUUUGGAAAUAUCAGUGACAAAAAAAAUAAGAACAUACCCAUUGAAGCUGAAUGUUUACGCUUGCAAUGUCAGUCAAUUUCGUGGACAAUAGUCAGUACCAAGUUCACAUUUAGUAGUGAAUUUUACCAUGCUUAUUAAUCAUUCGAUGGUUCAGAAAAGUAGAUGAAAUCCACAAUUUCAUUGUCUUUCAAUUUGCUCGUAACUCUACUUUGUUAAUGACAAGAAUUAGUUUAUAAAUUGAAAGAGAGAGUAAUUUCACCAGAAGAAGUAGAGGAAUACGGAUAGAAUAAGAUGGUGAAGAACAGCAAUAUCCAAUAAUGAAAAGCAAUUAAUCAAAAAUUUGCAGUGAAAUCUUACCCGAUGGCUCAAAAAGAUGACUUUUAAUCAAAUUUCAAGCUUUGGAAUAUUAGAGAUCUUUGGCACUCAGAGCCGCUUUGAGGAGUGCAUCUUCGUUUUAAUAGAGGACAAUAACUAAUUUCCAGACGUCUUAAUUUGAGGCGUUCCAUGGCAUCUAAGGAGGGUAAAUAUUCAAGCUUUGGGCAACCCAACAGAAUUAGCUCACAAGAGACGCAAAAUUCCCAAGCCAAUCUGGUAAGGCCUCGAUUGCUCCGAAGUAACGUAGAGAUAGUGAUGUGAUGGUAGUCAAGCAUUGAAGCUGGUGUGGCAGAGAUUUCGUGUCACGCAUCCCAUACAAAUACACGUGCCGGAGUGUUGAUGAAGAUGCUAAUCCAGCCCAAUCAAAUUCGAUUACUGAGUAAUCUGAGAAGGGACCAAUCGACACUUCCCUUAAGCUGGUAAGAUGGCCAAAUCCACUAGGCAUCUCAGCAAUCCAGUUGGGACACCCACAUAACGAGAAGCUCUGAGAGAAGGGGUUCGUCGCAAAUCAAGGGGAAAGGAGACCAGACUGCGGCACUUGAACAAUGUCAGCUUUCGGAGAGACGUACAGGACUCGAACAUCUCCGCUGGUAAUCUUGUUAAUUCAUCGCACUCAUCGAUAGUAAAUCGCUUAAGAGACUUAAGGAGGCCUCUCUGUCCAAAUGAAUUUUUAGGAUUUGGAUGUCCAAAUGAUUUAAUUCUCGAGCAACCCUGUAUCUCCAAGUCCUCUAAAGUUUGAAAUUGAUAAAGAUCUUCUGGCAACUCCCGUAAAUUCUCACAAAAAGUGACUGUCAAUCUCUUAAGACAAGCGGCGCAACUCAUUCUUCUUAGUGUUGUUAUAUUAUGGGCAGACAUCAAUUCUACAUGCUGAAGAGUUGGAAAAAGACAGAGUCGUUCAAGCAUAGCAGUGGGUAGACUGUGACAGCCAUCAAUACUCAAGCUGCUCUCUGGUCGUUUCACUAAUUUUAGAGACUUGAUGCAUUGACCACCACGAUCCCAUAAGUCACCCCUUAAGUCAAGGGACGAGAGAUUGGUUAUAUUGCUCAAAACCUUUUCUGCCACCAAAACAUGGCAAUUCCUUUUUAUUUCCAAUACAUCAAGACUUGGGAAACGACUUGGAGUUGGAAUGGUGGUCAGCUGGGGGCAACCCCAAAUAUACAACUUUUCCAGCACGGGAAACACAUCCAUCACAUGUACUUCACCUGCGGUUGACAUCAUUUCGUGUGCGUCCUUCCACUCUUCCAAAUUUUUCAUGCCUUUAAGCCAGAGAAUUUUAAGGGCUGGAAAGAAUGUUUGUCUGCUAAUAGUGCUUGAACCUCCUGAUCCGCCGUCCUCCUCAGCACUUGUACUGUAGAAUGAAAGCCCAAUGCAUGUUGUGUUUUUCAAUCUAGUCAGAUAGAGGCGCUUGAGGAAUGGCAGCUGUCCUAGCGCAGGGAGCUUUCUGCAUCUUGUGCACUCCUCCACCCGCAACUCCACCAGUGAUGUCAAUGUCAAAUUCAUGAACCAUUGUGGAAACUGAUCACCCAUGAACUUCAAAAUUUGUAACUCUUUUAAAUUUGGGUGAGGUUGGAGGCCUUCCAACACAUCUUCAUCACAAUUAUCACUUUCUCGAUCCCUAUUGCCCCACUCAAAUACCAACCGAUACAUAUUUGGCUUUUUAGAUAGGUUCGCUAGUUCAGCAUCAUCUUUGCCAUUUACUAAUUCAAGAUUUCUGAUCUCCAAGGAGCCUCUAAGAUCUUGCAAGGUUCCAAGUUCUUGGAUACCACGACCUUCCUCUUGACGACCUAUGUUAAAGAACUCUAACGUUUGAAGACAAGUCCAUCGUCCAAUCCCGGAUGGCAUUUGGAUUUCACGUCCUGUAUCAUCAUCAUCAUCAUCAUCAUCAUCAUCAUCAUCAUCAUCAUCAUCGCAUCCUGUAUCAUCAUCAUAGUGAAGAUGUCUCAUGCUAAUCAAAUUGCUCAUCUCCUUUGGAAAACCGUCUACAAGCAUGCCAAUUCUCAGUGUUUGCAAACUAUAAAGUUUGCAAAGAGAUUCUGGCAAAGUUCUAAUCCUAGAACCUGAAAUGUCAAGUAAGUGUAAAUGUAUUAGUUUGCCAAUGGAGGUCGGCAACGCUUUGACAUCUGCUCCAAACAAUUUUAGGACAUGUAAGUGUUUGAACUUUGAUAACAUAUCAUCAGCUAUGCCACCCUUCAGAAAUAAUGUGCGAAGUGAUGCUGAUGCUUUUUCAUUGAUUCUUUCGGGUGAGUAUACCGCAAGGUAACGGUCCUGAUUGCUACCGUUACGAUUCAAAAUUGAUUUUGCAAAAUCAUGCACAAGGUCAUGCAUUUUAUACCAUGUUCCCCACUCAUUUUUUACUUCUUCCAAUAAGGAAGUUUGCAGCAAAAUUCUCAAAUACUCAUAUCCUAUUUUCUCCAUCAUUCUUUCAUUUUGGGAAUCCGGUUGAAGAAAGCCUUCAGCCAUCCAAAGCUCAACUAGUCGAUCUUGUUCCAAUCUAGUAUCUUGGUGGAAAAUUGAGCAAUAUGCAAAACAUUUCUUAACCGGUACAGGUGACAGAUGAUCAAAACUCACCUUAAUUAUUUGCUCGAUCCCACCCUGAUCUCCAUUCAAGAGACUCUCCUCCAAAAUAGAUGGCCACUCCUCUUUUCUCUUUUAGAUAACAAACCUCCGAUUAACUUUGCUGCCAGAGGUAGACCGUCACAUCUUCUUAAAACUUGGUGCCUCAUGUCUUCCAAUUCUUUUGGUACUUCUUCCCCUAAAGUUGCCCAUUUUUUAAUGAUAGACCAGCAAUCAUCAUUGCAGAGCUUUCCUAGCUCAUGGCGAGUAAAAUUGAUCUGCGGAUGUCUAGACAGAAUAAUUGCCACUUCUUGCAGACGAGUGGUAACAAGACACCAGCUCCCUUUCUUCGCAUUGAGUCCCGCCAAAGUGCUGAAAAAGUCAUUCAACAAUACUUCUUGAUCAUUCCACAAAUCAUCAAGAACAAGGAAAUAUCUUUUUGCCUUGAGUUCAUCUUGAAUUUUUUGAACUAUAACCUCCCUACGAUCCCCUUCAACCUUUCCUCCUGUUAACGAUUCAAGAAUCAUUUUGAAGACCUUCUCGAUUUUAUCUACUUCUUCAGCCACACAAACCCAAAUUUUUUUGUCAAAAUGUCCAACAAUUUGUUCAUUUUUGUAAACGGCUUUAGCUAGAGUUGUUUUGCCUAAUCCACCCAUGCCAGUUAUGGGAAUAACUGAAAUAACACUUUCAGAUUCGGUCAACAACUUCUUAACUAUUUCUGAUUCAUCCUCGUCUCUUCCUAGGACAUCUCCUCGAACGAUAGUAGAGUCGGUCUGUCGGCUUGUUGUGGCUCCAGAAGCAAUAGUAGGGAAUGCAUCUUCAACUUGGUGCUUGUAGGCCAGUCCCAAACCUUCUGCAUCCCGAUGGAUCCUUUGAAGGUUCGUGUUGAUCUCCCUGAUCAUUGAACCCAACCUCCAACGAAAACCAAUUUUAUUAAAGAAUGAAAAGCAGAAGAAUACCUUCUUUUUCGUGAGUUGAUUUCGAUACUUCACCUUCCGACGAAGAUUUUCACAGUUGAGCUCGUCCAGCACAUUGUCAGCUUUGAAAACCUCUUCUUCCAGCUGCUUGAGCCAAAUUUUCACGUCUGAGCUAUGCAUUUGCUCGUCGGCACCAGCCAAGAAGCCUCGAAUCAUUUCAGCAGAUUUGUUGAGUCUCUCCAGCUCCGUUGGGAAUUCACGAACCAGAUUAACAUGAUCAGCGGCAAGGGAAACAACCGACUGCAAUGCAACCUGAAUAGUAGCACUAACAGCAGUAUCAGCCAUUUUUUCUCGCUUGGGAUUGGAAUUAGGAUGAAAGUGUUCUGCAAUGGUGAUGGGGGGAUGCUUUCUGCGAUGAGACAAGGAAGGAUAUGGUUCAACUUUGGCAACUAAGGGCAGCAAGGAGGCUAAAACUUGCGGGAAUGAAAUUUUUCCACACAACUUUUUGCGCUUCCAAAUUUUUCCACUUUUUGCAAAGCUACACUCUAAAGAGGAGACUUCCUGGAAGUUGCCAACAAUUCGUAGCCACACCUUGUUGCCGACAAGUUGUCACAUCUGCAGCAUAUAGCCAACCUUCAAUUUGCAGCUGAGUCAACAAAGGCCUCAUUCGGUAAAUUCACACCCCACGCAAGGAAGGGUCCAUUUAUUUGUAGCAUACUUCAACGAUACUGCACAAUCCAUCGCCCAAGUUUCAACAGGAAAACAACCUCUCUUAUCUACUUUCCUGUUGAUAGUAGAAGCGCUCUUUUGGAUUUUCAGAUAAAAGGAUAGAAUCAUCAAUGGAGGGUACUGUCAAAUGCUCAGCAAAUUAUGUACCUCUGACGCCCAUAAGUUUCUUGGAGCGUUCGGCAAUUGUAUACAGAGACAGGAUUUCAGUAGUGUAUGGCGAUUUAAAGUUCACUUGGGCAGAAACUCGUGGCAGGUGCGCCAGACUCGCUUCUGCUCUUCACUCCCUCGGAAUCUCCCGUCAUGAUGUUGUAAGUUCCCAUUUAAUCCUUGAAUUUUCUGGGCUUUCUUUGUUAUUCACAAUUUACCUGCAUUUUCUUCUUGUCCAGUUCGUUUUGUUUUCUUUAAUUUCUAUGCUUCAAUUUGUUCUGUAAUUAAAAGUCCUUCAAUUUGUUCUGUUGUUGGUUAAUUAUCACGAUUGAAUCUUUUUUUUUUUGGAUUGUAAUUUUCUUCUGAUUACUUGGUUGUUGGGAGCUAGUUGGAAUGUUAAAAAUGAUUUCUGCCUUUGUUUGGAAUGAUAUCAUCUGGGUAUUUUUUGUCUCUAUCAAUCAUUGCACGGGUUGUUGAAUAGACAUGCAUUGACAUCAUUACUAUAGAUUGAUUCCAUUUCAAUGAGCCCACAAGGGACCAACUGCCCUUAUAUAUAUUUUUUUGGUGGGUCAUUUUCAUGCCUCAAUUCAGUGACUUUGUAGUAGUCGGAGGUUUAAUUAUGCAAUUUAUUGCUGUUACCCAACUCUAAAUUCUUUCAACCUUUUUCUUUUUUAUUUUGUUAAAAAAAAAAAAAGAAAGGUCGCAUGGAUAUGGUGGGGGAAGGGGAAUUUGGCACCUAAUGGAACCAGAUUACUUGAAACCUGUAAAAGACAUGCUAACCUAUCAAGAAGCUUUUGAGUGUCUGGAGCAUUAUAGUAAAGAUAUCACUAUGAAAUUGCUAACUUAUGGAAUUGUGCAUUUGAGGGUCAAUUUUGGUUUCUCAGCAGCCAUUUACGACAGAGUUUGUCGAACACUACUUUCCUAGCAAGUACGCUACAAAAAUGUUGACCUUUUGUAUUUGAAUAGGUCUAAUCUUGAUAUCUGAAUUCAGGUGCUUUUUCAAGUUUGAAUGUAGCUUCAAGCAUCUCUGGUGCUAAUAUCUGUGUGCUUUAACCAUUGGAAUGUUUUGGCAAAGUUCUUUGAAUCCUGCAGUCUAGCUAUGUCUUGCUGUUCAGUUAUGGUACAAUGAUGAGGUUCCUUUCUUGAUAAGUAUACCAGAAAUUCCAUCUGCUGGUUAAUGAUAUUCUGAUAGAGGACUUGAUGAGCUGGAAGUAAUACUUCUGCUGGCUGAAAAUAUUUCUGCUGGUUUGUGAUGAGGCUAAAAGUAAACGUUUUGUUAUAGAACAUUGAGUGCCUAGAAGAUCUUCUAAAUCAAGUCUUGUCACAUGCUUAAAUUUGAAAGUAAGGUUGAGUUUCCUAAGAUAUAGGUACACUGAAUUAGCUAGACCUGAGGGCUUGAGCUUUAUGAAAAGCUUGAAACUUUGAAUUCAACUUGUCCAUGGCCUAUUGAAUGGACUCCUCCACAUUUCUCCCUAAAAUAUUGUCAAGUUAUACACAGAGCUGAAAACAUGAACUACCUCAGAACCUUAAAACUUUUCUUUCCUUUCUUAGAUUUCCCUGUAUUUCAUGGAUUACAAGUCAAACAGUUUGCGUGCAUAUGCAACAGAAGACUGUGUUCUCUUGUCUAAACCACCUGAUGUGGUGUGUCUAGGGAUGGCAACGGGGCGGAGUUGGAGCGGGGGACCCCUCCCCCACCCCCUGCCCCGUUGCCUAUUAAUUCCCCCCGACCCCCCCCGCCUCCCACUCGCCCCGCUUCCACCUGCGGGGUUAAUAAAAUUGUCGUCGCGGGGUUAAUAAAAUUUUAUUAUAGUUAAAUUUUAAUAAAUUAUCAAAUACUAAAAUAUCAAUACAUCAUCAAGUUAUUAUUCAUUGUAAUUUUACAAUUGAAACUCAUAAAAACAAUCAAACAAAAGUUAUUUGAAUACAAUCCAACAUGAUGAAAUAAAUACAACUAAAAUAGUCAAGUUUUCACUUUUUGAACAAAUACAAUCACUGAUUCAUUAUUGUGUUUGUGCUUUUUUUCGAGAAAAAAGUGUUAUUCUAUUAAGUGUAAUUAGAAAUUUAGUAUAAAUGUAUUAGUAAAUUUAGUAUAACUAAUUAAUAAAUUAUAUUAGUAGACAUGUCUAAUUAUUCAUAUAAUGAUAAUAUCAAUUAUAUUGCAUACAUUAAUAUAUAUUGUAUAAUAUAUCUAACUAAUAAUAUCAUUAUCAUAAGUUUAUAACUAAUUAAAUUACAUAUUAUAUAUAUUUAUUUAUAUAUAUAUACUUUUUUUUUUUGCAGGUGGCGGGGCAGGGGAUGGGGCGGGGGCGGGGGGGGGAAUUUUUUCCCCUCUCAAUAUACGUCAUGAUUCAGCAAUGGUGUCGACAUUGCUAAAACACUCAGGUGCAAAAGCCAUUUUUGUUGAUUAUCAGUUACUUCAUAUUGCAGAAGGGGCAUUAGGAAUUCUACUAAAGACAAGCAGCAAGACGCCUAAAUUAGUUGUGAUUCCUGACCAAGCUAGCUCAUCUUCCAGGGUUAGUGACAUGUAUUUCAAUAAUGACAAUUUAGAGUACGAAUCUUUCUUGGCAUCAGGAAGACCAGACUUUGAGGUUAUAAGGCCACAUGAUGAGUGGGAUCCUAUUGCUUUGAAUUACACUUCAGGUACAACAUCAAAAGCCCCAAAGGUGUUGUCUACAGUCACAGAGGAGCCUACCUCAAUUCUCUGGCAGCUGCUCUUUUAAACGAAAUGCCAUCCAUGCCUGUUUAUUUGUGUACUGUUCUGAUGUUCCAUUGCAAUGGCUGGUGCCUUACUUGGGCCGUUGCAGCACAGGGCGGCACAAUGUUUGUCUAAGAAAUGUAACUGCAAAAGGGAUUUUUGAGUGCAUAGCUAAGCACCAAGUGAGCCACAUGGGUGGUGCUGGUGCACCUACAGUAUUAAAUAUGAUAAUUAAUGCACCGUCUGUUGAUCGGAGACUGCUUCUAGGAAAAGUGAUAGUGAUGACAGGCGCUGCCCCCCUCCUCCUCAUGUACUUUUUAAGAUGGAGGAGCUGGGAUUCAAUGUUACUCAUUCCUAUGGCUUGACGAAACAUAGGGUCCUGGAACAGUUUGCACUUGGAAACCUGAGUGGAAUUCACUACCACCUGAUGCAAAGGCCAAGGUCAAGGCUCGUCAAGGGUUGCACCACCUUGGCAUGGAAGAACUCGAUAUCAAAGAUCCAGAAACAAUGCAAAGCGUACCACCGGACACAAAAACAAGGGUGAGGUGAUGUUCAGAGGCAACACCAUCAUGAAUGGAUACUUUAAGGAUAGUAAAGCAACAGCUGAUGCUUUUAAAGGUGGAUGGUUUCGAAGUGGGGACGUGGGGGUGAGACACCCUGAUGGAUACAUAGAAUUAAAAGAUCGAUCCAAAGACAUUAUCAUCUCAGGAGGGGAGAAUAUUAGCUCGAUUGAGGUGGAAUCAGUGAUUUAUAGCCAUCCCGCAGUUCUGGAAGCUGCAGUUGUUGGAAGACCAGAUGAUUAUUGGGGUGAAACACCUUGUGCAUUUGUCAAAUUGAAGGAUGAUUGUAAUGCAAAUGCAGAUGAAAUUAUCAAGUAUUGCCGUGAUCAUUUGCCACAUUAUAUGGCUCCACGAACUGUUGUUUUUGGGGAAUUGCCAAAACUUCAACAGGAAAAAUACAAAAAUUUGUUCUCCGCCAGAAAGCCAAAGACAUGGGAAGUCUUUCAAGGACCAGCAGAUUAUAGCAUUUCCGUCAUCUGCAAACUAACAAUGUAAACUUCCACCACCUGGUUCUGUUUUUAAGACUGUUGUCACAUCACAAUUGAUCCCUCACCAAGAACUUGAUCCUGUUGGCUUUUUGGAGUGAAGGUGGAAUAUUGAGGAUUUGAUCCGGUACAAGGAAGUGAAAGGCAUUUAAUAUCUUCUUAAUCUAUUCCAAGGCGAGAUUAUAAUGAGUUAAAUGUCAAGACUUGAGUUGUAUUUGAUCAACCAUAUAAUGUGCUUUAGUUUAAUAUGAGAUCAGCAUUCCAUCAGAGGAGAAAUUUACGACUGUAUUAAGGCAAACUUGUCUAACAUAGUUUUGAUGCAAGCUUGGGGCAUAUUAAAGGAUUAAAUUCGUCAAUCAGUCUGAAUGAACGAAUCUUGUUUAUUCUUUGACAACAUCUACUACGAAGACUUCAACUAAAAAGUGUUAGUGUUAAAAUGAAGUUGUCUCAGGUAAUUUAAGAUUGGAGACUUGCUGCAGCAGCUUUGCCAAUGAUUUGCUAGUCAGUAAAUCAAGAAUCGAGGAGACAAUGGUCCAAUCACGUCUCAAAGGACUUCAGCUUGUUUGAAUUACAAAUGACCUAAAACAUAUAGGAAAUUCUUUCAGUUUUACAAGUAGUUAUUGAACAAACGUGCAGCGCUCUUCACAUUUUCCAGCUAGUUUAGUCGCAUAUCAUGACACAGCAGACAAAUAUCUGUUUUCUAAAUUGAUUACCAGUUUUGACAGAAGUUCAUAGAUAUAGGAACCGCUUAACUACAGAGAUUGUUCAGCGACUGGAACAUAUCAUAUAUCAUUGUUGAACAACUCAAAAGAAGAAGGGUACAGUAAUGUCAAGUUUCAUCUAUUAAACAACAAAACAAGGCUAACAAUUUCAUUAGGUUGCGAACUCUUUUAGCUUUUGAUUUGAGUGGUUUAUAUUUCAACUGCUGGAAUGCUAUUCCUCUGUUGAUUGUUGCUCUCUUUUCUGCUUGCAGUUCCAAAAUCUAGUAUUGCAUACGUUCAAUGUGGGUUGGGUUGUUCUCAUUUAUCUUCAAUGGUAUGUUCAGAUAUGUACCAUUUUAUUCUGUAGUUCAAGUUUUUGCCUCUCUAUUUCAUUCUGAACCUCCCGUUUCUCCAAUUCUUUCUUACGCUCAAUCAGCUUUUGUUUCCAUGCCUCUGGCUGCAUGCUCUGAAGAUACCUUUUCAACUGAUUAGCAUGGUGUCCUGCAUCUUUCGUAUCUCUGAUUCAUGUGAACGGAAGAAAGUGAGGGAAAAUCAAUGCAGAGUCACUAGUGAAAAGGGUGAAAGCGAAAUAACACUGCAUCAAAUCAUUAACAACUAAAGAUAUCAUUCUCUGGAUGUGAGGAAUGAGUACACACUUUCAUUAUGCAAUCGACCCAUCUCAUCCUUUCGAGUCAUCAAAUCGAAUGAGAGUAUAAUAGUUUCAUUGUAUUUACGCUCACAAACCCUGAGGGACCUGCUGUUAUCUUGUAUUUCCUUGGUAAAAUUGUCAAUAAGCCGUGAAGUUAUUUGCUUCACUUCACUUCUGCUUCAAUAUCAGCAAUAGUCGUCAAAUCUGCCUUCUCUUGAAGAUAUUCUCCAAUUAAUUCUGAUGAAUGAUAAUCAUCAGCACAGGCAACCCAUCUAUACCACUUAUCACCCGGAAGCAUGGUUCAAAGUCUCUGCCGAGACCGAGACAACUCGGCUAAGUUGUCACCGGAACGACCCCUCUGAUAUGAUAUCGAAAUGAGAUGACUCCGAGAUACUUGAUUCACCGAGAACUCGUCUGAAAAGUCUCCGAUACGGAUAGUCUCGGCCGAAUUGGUCUGAGUCAACUCACAAAUUUACAUUUGACAAAUUUUCUUUUGUUAAUUUUGUUAAUUAUUUUUGUUCAGCAUAUUUUGAAUAUUAUUUACAAUUUUUAGAAUAUUAAAUGAUUCAAAAUUUGCGUCUCACCUUGACCGAUAUGCCAAGACUGGCGUGGAACGGUCCAGGCCGUGACCGCGACUUUGAACCAUGUUUAUCACCCGUUAUAUGCUUCAUAGUAAUCCCUCCUACCAAGAUUCUCUGCUUCAAAACUCUCUUCAAACGCCAUUGCCUGAAGACAAUCCUGUCUAGUUCUUGUUGAACUCAACUAUUGCAUACCCUGAUAAUGUUGCACAGUUCCAGAAUGGUUGCACAGUCAUUGGAUUAAACCCUUUCAUAGUCAGAUCAUUCUUAACCUCAGAGCCACAGCUUCCAACAUCUUAUCCAUUUCUAUUGUCAUCAGGAACAUUUGCAACAAAUCCCAUCCAAGGAUAUACAAAUUCUGCAUUUACAUCUGGUGUAGCAAUUGAAUGCAAAUUCAUGGUGUAGCACCUACGAUUGACCUUACGUGUACCAAAACAUUGGCAAAAUAUAAUGCAUUUGCUAUAGUUUCUGCUAUCUAACAUGAGAGGAUGACAAAAAAUUAGCAGCUCAGUCUGAAGAAAAAGGUAUAGACCAAUGAAUACAACCAAAAUCCAAAAAGAACAAUGUUCUACUUGCUGGGGUUUUAAAAAUCCCAAUAUGAGAAAAUCAAGCACAUACUUGCAUAUCACACCAAAUAAUUAAUCGGGAAAAAUUUGUACCCAAAAUGUGGUUGGGACAAAUCUAGGCCGUGGUGGAUCAUAUAUAGUAGUAUUAUUAUGGUGGUGGGCUUUAUCAAUUCUUAUUUAGCCUUGUAUUUUUGAAAAAACAAAGUUAAUCAAUGCCAAUAAAAUUACAAAAUAAUCUAAUACUUUAAUCAAAAAAAAAAGAGGAGAAAAAAAAAACCAAGACCAUUGAAAGUUGAUAUGGAACCGCAAGCAUGAGCUGACUCAACUUGCUAAACUCACUUUACCAGGCAAGUUGACUGUGAUCCAAAAAAGAUUGCCAAACUGAUUUUUGUACAUAAGUUUACGCAGGCAAUGAAGGAGUAAAUGAUACUUUUCUAACUCCGCUUGAACAAAGUCCAUGCCAAGACGCAAUUCAUUUCCAGUUUGAGUUGAUUUAUUCUGCACAUGGCUUUCAAUUGAAAAUGAUAGAAAUCUCGUAAAAUGUGGUAACUGGUUUAGGCCAAGAGACACUGGAAAUGAAAAUGAUGCUGCCUUUUCAUGUACUUUGAUCUUAUUCCUUGAUCAAUUUUAAGUUGGAGCAACUCCCAAGACUCCAUGCAAAAACAGUAGUAUGUGGUGGGGUUGUGCAUGCCCAUCUGAGGUUGGUUCCCUAAACUUGGGACCAAAAGCUACUUCCAUCUCUUCACUUUGUAAAACUUUGAUUGGUUUUAUUUUGGAAAACUAUACCUGAAAUUCAACUUCAAGAAAUCCUGCAGCUGAGUUCAAUCGAAGAUACUGCAGAAAUCUAUUCCAAUUCCUGAUAUAUUGACUGAUAUACUAUAUAUACCGACGGAAAGUAAGAUCGAAACCAUAAACCAUGUUCAGCAUCUUGCUCAGACCAUUUCCUUCUAAAUCAUGCAUCUCUUUUCAUGAGAUAGUACCUGUUUGCAUCUCAAGUUCCUGUCCCAAACUAGCUGAUCAUCCUAGUCGUAAAGAUGUACCUAUUGAGAGAUUUACAGAAUUUACUAGAACAAACACUUAAACAUAUCCCAAAAAAGGAGUAUGGAUUAAUCAAUGUUUGCAUGUAGAGUUCAAUCGAUACACAUAGCACCUGUAUAAUCUUAUCUUUGGAACCAGGAAAGGUGAAUGUCAGGUUUGACAUAAUACAUGAAUUGCAAGAUCCUUCACUAAAUAAACUUCUGAUAGCUUUACUUUUGCCGGCAUCGAUCAAACAGCUGUGAGGGUCAUGAUAUGAGGGUCGCAUCUGUACCACUUGAAUUGUGUCAUGAUUCAUGAAACCCUGGUCAGGUUCACAAGGAGACCUUACCCUAUCAAAAUGUUUUGAAUUAUGAGAGUUGCACCAGUCGCGUGAGCAGUCGAUAUUACGAGGCAGAAUCUGUGAGGUUCAUUCUCCAGCGGAAAAUAAUACCGUAUGCAGUUCAUACGACAGAAAUCCAAAGCAGUGCGUAUUCUAGUUAACUGACUAAAAUUAACACUGUACCUCAGAAGAACCCAUUCUUAGUAGUCCCUCUUCAUCUCCAAGAAGUAUGCCAAAGCAGUGUUUGACCUCCGCAAUUCAAUCAGAUGCAGGUGCCCCUUUGAAGACCGAAAGUGCAGAAUCAACCUUUUUUCACUUUCCCAUAUGUAUUGGAGUUGCCGGCAUCAUUUGAACGCACUCUUUAUCCGUAUCAAAAUGCAAAAAAGGCCCCAACUUGCUAAUCCAAUGCACAGAAUUAUUACAGAAAACACCUCUUUUAAGAUAAUGAUCCUCAUUGGUUAUGUCCAAAGCAUUACCAGCUUCUCUCCAGAUUUUGGUUUCAGAUGAGUAGAUAGAGAAGCGAUAUUGCAUUCCGACAAUUGAAACACAAACAGCUUUAUAGUACUGCGACACGUAAGGAUCAAAUGCUAUAGUCAUGGACAAUAUUCUUGAUGCCAGAGGACUCUCAAGAUCAGGCAGUUUGAUAGAUUUAUUUGUGGUGGGGUUACAAAUGUACUAUUCACAACAACAGUACUUCCCACCAGUAAAAACGCAUAAACACAGCAAGCCAUUGCAAGACCAUAUUCUGUGUAUGUCAGGAUUUGCACCAAUAAAAUUCAACGAGCGCAAUGGAUAUGCUUUUUUGUAACCUUCAAGGUAAAUGAAGGCACUUCUGGGAUUACGAGGCUCAGACAAAUGAUAGAAAAGGAAGCCAGCAACGAAAUACAUGCCAGGGUUGCCUCGGAAAUGUAGAUAGCCAAAUGCUGGAUGGGAGAUGAUAGAGAGCCAUUGCUUGGAUACACAUUUGAAAGUGAGUAGAACAUCGACUGGCAGCUUCAGUAAUACUUCCUCCAAAACUUGGUCAAUGUCGGGGAUUGACAUGGACUGUGCACUUGUCUUCAGCAAGUCAAAGAAAAUCUUAGUGCUUUCAGCUGACAACAUUGUCAAGAUAGAAGUCCUGAGUUAAGGAAAUCAAAUCUGGAUUGAAUCCAUGCAAAACAAAAUUAAUACGGGCAGAAGCUUUCUUGGCAAAAUCAAUGUAUCAAAAGACGUUUUCUUUUUCCAAUUUCUCUAUGACUGGUUAGAAAAACUACUCAUUGGAUGACACAUUACACAAUGAUUUACAGCAACAGCUAAAAUGUCAUUCUCACACAGAAUAUUCUGACAUAGCAACGUCUAGAUUCUCAGGGUAAGUAUUUGAAACCAUAAAGGAGCUUCAAACAAAAUAGAAAGAGUUAAAAUACUUAGCUUGCUUCGGCAAAAUAAGAUUCACAUGCUAAGUCACGUAGAUUGAAAAACAGACAAAAAAAAAAAAAAAAGGAAUUGGAUUCUGAUAAAGGUAUAGCUGGGAACAACCCCGGAGAUAGAAAAUUCUAUGGAGAGAGAAAGGAACAAGCUCAGAAAGAGAGAAUUCUGAUGUUAGCACGCAUGUCAACCAUCUGUCCUUUAUUUCUGCAAGCGUGAAAUAUUCACUGAUACUAACUGAAUAGAAAAUUCUAUAGAGAUUAUUACCUCUUUGUUUCCAAUUACAUGAUUGGACUUGAUAGGUUCAUUCAAGAUAAUAGAUGGUGAGUGUUUAAAAAAAUUUUGCAGAAAUAACAUUACAUUGCCCAAGUGCAUCCUAUUGUGUGGUUAUGUUUCUGCAUCUCUUCCAUAUUUCUGCAUUUCUCUAUGUUUUACCUUAAUCUAUUAAAAAGGAAAAAAACAAAAAGAGUGAGAGCCUAGAUAGCAUUUCUCUAUAUGAUAGCAACUCUAUGGCUGAACUACCCUUGAUCUUUGAUUUGUUGCCUGAACUGUUACUGAUGCAUGACCUAUUACCUAAUCUAUCCAUUAACGCAUGGUAUCACCACUCUGUCAGUUUCUCAUCCCAUCUUCAUUAGGCCCAAACAAUAAAAAGGUUAAUAAUGAGAGAACACAAUAGUUCAAUUGAAGAAUAGCUUCUAUGAUCAGGAAACCAAAGAGAGCUGAAAUUUGAUUUGACAUAACAUAUUGAAAAUUCUCUAGCAGCUAACAAAAGCCCAAACUCAACCAUAACCCCUGAUGCCUUUUCUGAUUUUCAAGCAAAAACUCUAAAACAAAUUAAAAUACAAUUUCAAGAGGCCAAAUUCAGUAUGCCAAAUUUAUAAACCUAUCUUUCAAUCAAGAAAACUGUGGAUGGCCACCAGCAAUCAACAUGUUCCUAUAGGAGGGAAAAGACAGAGCAAGAACAGGAGAGGCAGAAGGCGGAAAGGAAGGUGGGCGAGGAAAGCAUCAAAAGGAACAGAUAUCAGGCAAUAAGAAAAUGGAGUCCGGGAUAUGCCUUUGGUUUGGGCUGUAUAAAUAGAGAUAACCCUAGUGGGGGAAUCAAAAUGUUAGUGCCCAAAUUAUGAAUAAAUCCCAUAGAUUGGACUAAUGAAAGCCUUAGAUCUAUUUCCAGAAGCCUUGCAAACACCAGUCUAUCACUCUUUUUGCCCAUGCCUUAGUUCCAGACCCCCUGACAAACAACUAGUAUGCAAAAGAAACACAAAAAGAAGUCAAAUAAAUCAAGGGCUCCAUCAAAAGAGAACAAAUAUAAUCGAGAGCACCAAUAGAAAACCUCGGUCAAACUAGUCUGGUUUCUGUCAGGGUCGGUGAAUCAGAUUUGGAAAUUGGAGGGAAAUGGGAAAAGAGAGAGAAUCAAGAAUGAGAGAAAGAGAGAAAUGUAACAGAAAUUUGUUAUUACAAUCAGAUAUCCUUACCAAUCACAGAGCUCCUUAUUUAUAACCUAAUGCAACCGACUAACUAACAUUUUAUAGUAAAGCGACACCGUUUCUCUUGCAACUGCUUCAUUUAACUAGACUCACUAAAACGACGACGUAUGAUCGUUGUUCUUGACAUUGCCUCCUCCUUCAGUUUAGACUUGUCCGCAAGUCUUGAAUUCAGGAAAUUGUUGCUCCAUGAAAUCCUUAUCUUCCCAGGAUGCUUCCUCAUACUCCAAUUGUUGCCAUUUGAUCAGAUAUUGUACCACAGGCAGCCCUUCCUCAGAAUAGCUCGUCUCUUCAGAAUCAUUUCUGGCAUCAAGAGGCAUUGAUCCUGCAAAUCGAACUCUGGCAAGGUAGUGGAGACCUGCUGUGGUGGACCAAUUCUCUUCUUCAAUAGAGAAACAUGGAACACUGGGUGUAUUCUAGCUGCAGGGGGUAAUUUGAGCUUAUAAGCGACCUCUCCUAUCUUCUCUUCCACUUCAAAAGGCCCAUAGAAUUUUGCUGACAGCUUGAGGUUCUUUCGAAUGGCCAUGGUUUGCUGCCUAUGGUUGCAGCUUGAGAAACACUAAAUCCCCAACUUCGAAACUCCUCUCGGUUCUAUGCCUGUCUGUAAAAUAUUUCGUUCGUUGCUGAGCCUUGAGCAGAUGCUCCUUGAUACUGGCUGAGAUCCUCAUCCUGUCCUGGAGUGCUUGAGCUGCUGCAGGAAUGGUAGAGUCACAGUAGGGACCCAUUGGUAAGGGUAAUGCCUUGUAGCCAUAGAGGGCUUCAAAGGAAGUCACAUUCAAGCUUGAGUGAUAAGCAGAAUUGUACCAAUUCAGCCAGGGGAAGCCACUUACUCCACUGACUGGGAAAUUCUCCAGUCAUGCACCUCAAAUAAGCUUCUACACACUGGUUAACUCUUUCAGUUUGACCGUCUGUCUCUGGAUGGUAUGCAGAACUGUAACACAAUUUCACCCCCACCAAUCGAAAUAACUCCUCCAGAAGUGGCUAGUAAAGAUUUUGUCUCUAUCUGUAACUAUAGUUUCAGGCAAUCCAUGAAGCUUAUACACCUGAUCAAUGAAAACUUGUGCCACCUGCCUGGCUAAAAAGGGAUGAACCAGCAACAAGAAGUGACUGUACUUGGUGAAUCGAUCCAACCACCAGAAUAGUAUCAAAGUUUUGUGAGGGUGGUAGUUUCUCUAUGAAGUCCAUAGAGAUGUGUGUCCACGCUUGACUGGGUAUAGGAAGAGGUUGUAGAAGUCCCGGAUGCUGAAUGUGCUCAGCCUUAUUCCUCUAACAGUUAUCACGUGCCUGCACAAAUCUCCUAACAUCCUGUUUCAAUUCAGGCCAUAAAAUAUACUACUGAUCCUGUGCCAACUCACUCUCUGCCCUGAAUGGCCUCCAAUGGAAGAAGAGUGCAACGCUUCCAUGAUUUGCUCCCUGACUCCAUUACUUGACCCACAUAGAGCUUCCCUCUUACCUGAUGAUGCCAUCACUUAGUUGAUACUGGUCUGGAAAUUCAGGUUCCAAUAUCAUCUUGGCAAUUAACUCUUGACAGUGAGAGUCAUGCUCAUAGCUUUUGACUAUUUCUGUCAUCCACACUGGUUUAACAGUAGUUAAAGCCAGGCAAGUGCCUGCCUCGUUCUUCUUCCUACCUUCCAUUGCAGCUCUCCCAGAAAGUGCAUCAGCUACCAAAUUCUCACUGCCCCUUUUGUACUGAAUUUCAUAAUCCAGUCCCAGAAGCUUGGUUAACCAUUUGUGCUGUAUCGCUGUUGUCAACUUCUGAUCCAGUAAGUAUUUUAGAGAUUGAUGGCCAGUCCUGAUGAUGAAGUGGUAGCCUACUAGGUAGUGUCUCCAUUUUGUUACCGCCAUUACUAAUGCCAGCAAUUCUUUUUCAUAGGCAGACAGCCCUAAAUUCUUUGGACUCAAUGAUUUACUGAGAAAUGCAAUAGGAUGUCCCUCCUGCAUAAGCACAGCUCGAAUUCCCCCUCCACCCGCAUCAGUUUCUACCACAAAUGGCUGCUUAAAGUCAGGCAACCUGAGUACUGGAGCUGUGGACAUGACUCUUUUGAGCAAGUCAAAGGCCUCCUGAGUUGUGUCAGUCCAAAAAAAUGCAUCCUUCCUCAGUAGUUCAGUCAGUGGUCUACACAGGAUCCCAUAACCUUUAAUGAAUCGUCUGUAGUACCCUGUGAGUCCAAGAAAUCCUCUUAACUCCUUCACUGAUUUGGGUGUAGGCCAGGUCAGCAUACUGCUCACCUUGGAAGAAUCCAUGCUAACUCUUUUCUCUGAGAUGGUAUGUCCCAAAUAAUCCACUCUAGUCUGUGCAAAUGAACACUUUGAGCUUUUAGCAAACAACUGAUUCUCCCUUAGCACAGUCAACACAAGCCUUAGGUGCUGCAAGUGUAGUUCCCACGUCUUACUAUAGGUCAGGAUGUCAUCGAAGAAGACUAAAACAAAUUUUCUCAAAUAAGGUUGAAAAACUUGGUUCAUUAAGGACUGAAAAGUUACAAGAGCAUUAGUCAGCCCAAAAGGCAUGACUAAAAACUCAUAAUGGCCACAAUGAGUUUGAAAUGCUGUCUUGUACACAUCUUGAGGUUUGACCCUGAUCUGAUGGAAACCUGCAGUCAAGUCCAGCUUAGACUUAUACUUGGAUCCAGCCAGCUCAUUCAGCAGCUCGUCCACAUUUGGAAUGGGAUAGCAAUCUUUGAUGGUGAUUUCAUUCAGCUUCCUGUAGUCCACAUAGAAUCGCCAAGAGCCUUCCUUCUUCUUAACCAGUAAAACUGGUGAUGCAAAUGGACUGUUGCUGUGCCUUGCAAUUCCCUGUUGUAACAUCACUGUAACCUGCUUCUCAAUUUCAUCCUUCUGAGAAUGGGGGUAUCUAUAGGGCUUAAGCUUGAAUGGUUGAGCCCCUGACUUCAAGGGAAUUGCAUGGUCACAUGUCCUGAUAGGUGGUAAGGACACGAGCUGCUGAAAAACUUCUGAAAAUUCUUCUAGCAAAUCUUUGAUUUCCUGAGGCUGCUGCUCCUCUCUUGUCCCUUCUGAGGCUCCUGCUGGGGCCAUUUCUGCUUCCAUGUUUCUGAUAGCAAAGCAUCUCUUCUUAUAUUCUAUGAAAUGCCUAAGGUCCUUACCCCUGAUUAAAUCCAAUUCACAAUCCUCUGAACUCCCUUGUAGGUGAACUGUUUCCCCUUGAUACUCCAUAGAGAUCCUGAGGUUAUGAAAAUCAAACGUGAUGGGGCUAAAAUGAGUCAUCCAAUCCACUCCUAGCACAAUAUGCCAGCCACUCAGUUGCAUCACCUUCAAAUCAAAACCAAAUUGAUGUUGAUUGAUUUCCCAUCUGACCCUUGGGCAGAUGGCCUUGCUGGUUACACAUGUUCCAUUCCCCACAAUAACAGAGAAGGGGGAAACCAUUCUGUAAGAAAUGUCUAGAGCAAUGACCAACUCACUGUCAAUGUAGCUGUCAGAACUCCAUGUAUCCACUAGGAUUAGCACCUCCUCUCCAUCUAGAUGUCCUGUGAUUGUGAUAGUGUUUCUUUUGAGGGAUUCUGACAGUGUGUGUAAGGACAUUUCCAUAACAGUUCCUGGAUUACCAGUGUGCUCAUCUUGUUCCCCCAUUGCAUCCUCAAAUUCCGUGUCCUCUUCUUCAUCCCCAAGGAAGAAGUUUAGAUGUCCCAUUUUACACUGAUGUCCUGCCCCAUACUUCUCUCCACACUUAAAACACAGUCCAUUGUUCCUUCUGUAUUGAAUUUCCUGUGGUGAAAUUUUCCUAGUGGAAUUAUUAUCUGGAACUGUCCUUCUUGCAUUGGAAAACUUGUGCUGGUUAACAGGGGGAAUCCUAUAUAGAUUGCCUGAGUUGGUACUUGGAGGCUGACUUUUAUGCAAGCCGAACUUAUUUUCUACUAGAUUUUUCUGCACUUCCCUUCCUUGUCUAUUCUGCAACUGCAAGGAGUACUCCUGUACUUGAGCCAUUUCAUAGGCAGCAGACAGCUCUGUAGGCUUAACCAUUCUGAUGAUUGGUUUAAUUUCUUCUUUAAGUCCACUAAUAAAGCUAGACACAAAUUAUCCUUCGUCUAAUUGGGGAUUUUCAUCAACAUUAAUGGCUUGAGCUCCUCAAACUUUUCUUGAUACUCCUCCACACUCCCAACCUGCUGGAUCUUGUUAAAUUCUUCCACUAUAUCCUUACAAAUUUUGUUACCAAACCUCUUGCACAAAAAUUCCUCAAAUUCUGCCCAACCUAGGCUUGUCUGUUCCAUCUUAAGGCCUUGAAACCAUCUAUCUGCCCUCCCUUCUAAAAAACAUCUCAAUUACCCCUACCUUCUGAUUCUCAGGAAUAUGAUAGUUCAGAAAAUACUUAUUACAUUUUCUUAGCCAUUCCUGUGGAUUUUCUCCAUGAAAAAGAGGCAACUCAAGUCUAGGAGGAAGAGGUGCAUAGAUCCUACCUUCAUCUCUUCGGUUGAAGUCACCAUUGCUUUCGCCUCCCUUGUUGAUCCUAUGUUGAGUGGUGGAGUAGGUAGCAGUGGUCCUUCUCUCACUUCCUCCGCAGUGCUCUUUUCUCUGUUCAUCAUCAUCUGUAGGAAGGAGUUGAAUUUCAGCUCUAAUCCGCUCAUCGCCGCCUCCAAUUUCUCCAACUUCAUGUUGGAAUUCUCCAAUUCUGCUCUAACCUCACUACCAAAUUCAGCUCGAAAUUGCUGCUGAGAAAAGUGAAAUGCCUCCAUAGCCUCUUGCAAUCUUGCUUCCUGCUUCUUCACGUGUUCCUCCAAGGAUUUUAGGCCAGUUCCUUCCGCCAUAGGAGCUACCAAGGAUCGGUAGCUCUGAUACCACUUUGUCAGGGUCGGUGAAUCAGAUUUGGAAAUUGGAGGGAAAGGGGAAAAGAGAGAAUCAAGAAUGAGAGAAAUGUAACAGAAAUUUGUUAUUACAAUCAGAUAUCCUGACCAAUCACAGAGCUCCUUAUUUAUAACCUGAUGCAACCGACUAACUAACAUUUUAUAGUAAAGCGACACCGUUUCUCUUGCAACUGCUUCAUUUAACUAGACUCACUAAAACGACGACGUAUGAUCGUUGUUCCUGACAGUUUCUAGUCAAUUUCUUCGCUGGUUUUCACCAAGUUUCAUAGACUUUUAGUCUCCUCUGAGUUUGCAUUCGACCAGAUCGAACAUCUGAAAAUUCCUGGAUGAACCAAUUGAACCAUGCCAAAUUUGUCUUCUUUUUCUGCUGCAUUAGGGAAGCUAAAGAACAAGUUUUACUUUAAAAAUAUGUCUGGUGACCUUAAAAUCUUAUUGAGGUUCAAUUACUUACUGAAGGGAUUAUGAUGACGAACCAGGCUCUAAAUAUAAAUGUUCAUAAUAAAAAAUAUAGACACUGCAAGAGAAAGAGAGACUGAGAUAUUGUCCAUGCAGGUCUGUGGUAAAUUUAUAGCUCUGUCUUUUAGAAAAAUCAAAAGACGUCAAAAAGUUGAAAAUAUGAAGAAAAAGAAAAAGCAGCAAAAGGAAAAGAUCUUAGAAUUGUCAAAUGAACAGCAUCACCUACUCAAGUACAAAAUAGUUGAAGAGGCAAUUUUGGCAUGUUUUAGGAAUCACUCAACAGCUGCUCACAAAUAGGCCUACUCAAUAGUGCUUCAGAGACAAUUUCAAAUAUAUGGCUUUAUUGGGUAUUGUUUGGAACCCAAGUUUUUUAUCAAGUUUGUCUGCUAUAAGUUUUUUAAAAACAUUAACUACAGUAACCUUAAAAAAUUUCUCAAAAUAUUCAAAAAUUUACACAUUUCAAAAAAUUAAAAAAAAAACUUUUACAAUAAGUUACAGUAAAGUUUUAGACAGACUUCUAAAAAACUCACCUUUCAAAUAGGGAUGAAAAUGUACUUCUAAAGAAAGGUGCUUAGUCAUCCGCAUAGAUCACCUCUUUGGAGACAACAUUGGAACAUCUUAUGUUUCACUUCUCAUGGCUAUAUACUCUCAUUCACAGAAAGAAAACAAGAUUGACCAAGAAAGUAGCAUGUCGAAUUCUCUCCAGAGGUGGAUUUGCAUAUUUACCUUAUAUAUGAAGCUUCAUAUUAAGAUACGAAUGAUGUUGAAAACUCAAAAUCAGUGCAUAGUAUGUUAUGCUCUUUCUUGAUAAAUAUCUAGGAAAAAAAACUAUUUUCCAAAUUGUUUUGUCAAAUAAAAUCAAAUUUCUCGACACAAGGGGCUAAUUACUCAGAUUAUAGUCGAGAAAAAAAAAGUUCGGACAUGUACCGAUCUGACAAGGUCGUGGUAUAAAUCUAUGGGUACCGGGCCAUGUCAGCCCGGCACCCAAACUUCAUCCAAUUUUUUUUUUACUUCUGACACCGCUGCCGAGCUCACAACGGCAGCAAAAAAAAAAAUUUUCAAAAAGGCUGUCGGCAACCGGGCUGACAAUGCCCGGUAGCCGACAAGGUCUGAUGGAGCCCGGCAGCCAGUCAAAUUGUUUUAAAAAAAAAAGAGAAAAUGACCUGUUUCAUCCCUCACAUUUCGUAAAAAUAUUCUUUUUGUCCCUCACAUUUAAAACGAAGCAAAUUGGUCCUUCACAUUUAAAAACCGAAACUUUUACAUCCUAGAAAUAAACUCUCAGUUGUGAAUCAAACCAUCUAGCAACCCGGUUACAAAUUCUAGAGGUAGAAUUGGUAGAUCACUCACAAAACAUAUUUCCAACAAAUAAAUUAAAAUAAUUAAAAAAUCUUAAUUAAAACCCAUUUGCUUUUUCAAAAGAACAAAAUAGUGCUAAAGCUCUCAAGCACUAAACCCUUAGACAAAUUCCUCAGUUUUGUUGCACUAAGGGUUUAGUGCUUGAGAGCUUUAGCACAAUUUCGUUCUUUUGAAGAAACAAAUGAGUUUUAAUUAAGAUUUUUUAAUUACUUUAAUUUAUUUGUUAGAAAUAUGUUUUUGCGAGUAAUCUACCAAUUCUACCCCAAAAUUUGUAACCGGGUUGUUAGAUGGUUUGAUUCACAACUGAGAGUUUAUUUCUAGGAUGUAAAAGCUUCAGUUUUUAAAUGUGAAGGACCAAUUUGCUUCGUUUUAAAUGUGAGGGACAAAAAGAAUAUUUUUACGAAAUGUGAGGGAUGAAACAGGUCAUUUUCCCUAAAAAAAAAUGCAAAGUGGUCAGCAGGCUUGUGGACCAAAAAAAAAAAAUUGGCUGGCAGCUCCCGUGAAGCAAAAAAACUGAACGAAAAGAAAAAGUUAGUACGUAGCAGAUCAUUUCCAGUGCAUGUUUUACAAUUUCAAAUAUUUGAAUAUGGGGAUUUAGCGCUAUUUUCAUCUUUUAUUAUUAUAAUGCUUAUCGCUAUUGGGUGUAUUCACAAUUUGACAAUGUCAUGUUAUGCAUUUUUUCUUCUUUUCAUUUUUUUGCCUAUUUUGUUUUUAUAUUGCACAACAAAUUUAUAUUUAUAAAAUUAUGUAGUCUAUUAAAAAUUAUAUAACAAUUUUAACAAAUAAUUUCUCAACAAUUUGAUAUGCAUCUUAUUGUAAAAUGAAUGAGAUUUUUUUGUUUAAAACAGCCUUUGUUUAGUUUAACAUCGUAUAGAAGUAAUUAUUGAUUUAACAAAUCUAUUUUCAUCUAGUUCUAUUGUUCGAAUUUUGAAAUAUAAUUUAAUUAACUCCAAAAAUAGUCGGAUUUAGUACGUUAGGCGGCGUAAAUUUUGGAUAAAAAAUAAGGGCGAAAUUGUUGUAUUGGAAAAUGGAUGAAAUUUUCAAAAUUAUUUAGUGAAUUUUGUAUAUGUCAAAACAAAUAUUGUGGUACAUUUUAUUUUUUAAUUGAAUUUCAUAUUUGAAAUAAUUGAGGCGUAAAUAUAAAAGAAAAUUUAGUGCAAAAAAGAAAAUUUUAAUUUGAGUAUACAGUAACUUUAGUUGUAAAUAGUAUUAGGAUAUGAGUUUCAAUCGGUUAUGAUCAGGUAUUAUAAUUAUAAUAAUAAAUAAAGGUGAUUACUAAUAUAAAGUACUUAUAUGAAUUUUAAAAAAAUUUCUUGCCAUUUCAUCUUGUCUUUCCUUCAUAUUAAAUUAAAUAUUUCAAUAAUACAAUUUAAUGUAUUUAUAUUUAUGUUCAUCUUAAAUUGAUAAUUUUAUUGAAUAAUUUAAAUAUUUAUAAAAUCUUUAUUUCAAUUGAAACUUAAUAGACAACUAGUUAAAAUGCCAAAAAAAGAAAAAAUAUUAUUCAUUCGACUCAAUGUCAUAUAGUUACUUAUAUUAUAAUAGAAUAUUUAAUUAACUAUUUUAAUUUAUCAAAUAUAAGUAUUGGACAUUAGAUGAUGAAUAAAUUUUUAAGAGAACUUUUAUUGUGAUUUUAAAAUAAAUAUAAUAUUUUCACCCAUGCAUAAUUCGCUUUCUCGGUAUCCGAAUAUACUUCUUCGUCCGUCUCCACAUAGUAGAGUUGGCCUUCUUGCAUUGCUUCUGCUUCUUAUGCGCAAAAAAGUGAACUUUCCACCGUAGACGUAACCUAUUGUUCAAUUUAGAUAGUGGAGCGUUAGCAAAUUUUAAUUUUUUAAAAAAAUUUGUUGUGCAAUAUAAAAACAAAAUAGGCAAAAAAAGAAAAAAAUGCAUAACUAAUUAUAUACAACUAAUUGAUGGACCGCUUUGCAUAAGUCGAUUAUUUCAAUGCAUCCCCAAUAUAGAUGUCAAAAUAGACAUCUUGUUAAUAAGUUGCCUUUGUUAAACCGCUUUGCAUUUUUUUAAAAAACAAUUUGACACUUUUUAAACAAUUUGACAGCUUUGUUCAACCGCUCUGCCUGGCAGCCAUCAGACCUUGUCGACAGCUUUUUUUAAAAAAAAAUUUGACAUAGCCCGGCAGCGAUGUCAGAAGUCAAAAAAAAAAAAAAUUGGAUGAAGUUUGGGUGCCGGGCUGACACGGCCCGGUACCCAUAGAUUUGUACUACAACUCGGCCCGGUACCCAUAGAUUUGUACUACAACCUUGUCAGAUCGGUACAUGUCCGAAUUUUUUUUUCCUCGACCAUAAUCUGAGUAAUUCGCCAGCACAAGGGGACAUUGAUUCCAUAUUUGGAAAAAUAUAUGCAUUAGGACCCUAUCCCAUGCUAUGCUAUCAAUGCAAUGUUUUGAAAACCGGACUGGACCGGCCGGUUCGAUCGAUCGAAUCACGAACCGGUCAUGUCUCCGGUCCGAUUCACUACUAAAGUUGACUUGUUAUAAGAACCGGUCAAAACCGUUAGAACCGUUCAAUCCGGAUUGACCCAUUGAACCACAGUUUUUUAUUUUUUCCUAAUUUUUUAAAUCAAAUUUAAAAGUCUUGAAAGGUGAAAACAUCUUCCCAACUUUUCUUUCUAACCCUAAUUUCUAAUGACGGCUGCCGCACACUCUCUCUCAUUCUUAAUCUCUUCUCCAGUUCUCUUUCUUCUUGUUUCAAAUUAAGAAUCCAAAUUUUCAAUGGUAUCGGCUUCUUAAAUAUGGGGUUUCUCAACUUCAAUUCUCUAUUUUUUCUGCAAAAGAUUGGAUUAAUCUCACAAAUCUUAACUCUCAAGACAUCGUCCAGGUUAGUUUCAUUUUUUUUUUCAUUUAUUUGUUUAUUACUUGGCGUUUGACAGAUUGUAUGAUUCUUGAGGUCUGCAAUUUUUGGUAGUAGUUUUAUUUUUAUUGUUCGAUUUUUCUUUGAAGAGCAAUUUGUCUAUUUCAGUUUUUUUUCUUUUUCUUUUGUGGGUAAGAAUUUGAAUGCCAUAAGAGAAAACCAGUGCAGAAAGCUAAUUUACUUGAUCAACUAUUAUGUCACAAAACUCAGGAUUCAAUUCCUAUUUUUGGUAUUGUAUAUGUACUUCACUUUUGUUGAUUAUGUACUGGAAAAUUCCUGAAGUACUUUGCACUAAAAUAUAUAAUUUAUUUUGGCUCUUAUCCAUUAGGAAUACUCAAGAACAUAAUCUUUAUACAGGCAGACAAACGAUGUUAGGGACACUAUUUAGUGGAUUUUCCAAAAUAUUGCAACAGGCUACACUUGCAAUUUUUGUGCCUAUUCCAGAGCAUGAUGAUCAAAUUGCGUGGCUUGAAAAUUCUUCAGGGAUGUUUACCGUAAAGGAUGCUAUGAAAACAUUCCGGCCCGAGGUACCGCUGUACAUUGAAGUAGUUUAGUAUGGUAUGAAAAUCACAUCCUAGACAUGUUUUUAUAUUGUGUUUGGUAUGUAACAAAACUUAGUACGCUGGAUUUGAGGAAAUGCAGUGUUUUCAGUUGGGGAAAAAUUCCUAGAACUCAUGAAAAUUGGAUUCUACUUGUAGAGUGGGGCUUAGAUUUUAAGCAAUUUUGUUGGUUUGCGAUGCUUAGCGUUAUUUUGCUGAUGUAGUUUGAGGAUUUCCUCGUGUAUGUGCUACAUUGCAAAUCAUUAAUGAAUUCUUUCUGUUUUGCUAAAAAAAAUUAUUUUUUUGAUAGGUAUAACUGAGAUGAAUUAUUUGCUUGAUUUUACAAUUUAAAAAAUUAAUCUAUGAAAGUCAAGUGGUUUGAAAUAUUUAACUUUUUAGCAAGUGAUGUCUUGAAUUAGUCUAUGAGAUUUCUU